GCAUUAUACCGUGAAACUGCGAAUGGCUCAUUAAAUCAGUUAUCGUUUAUUUGAUAGUACCUUACUACUUGGAUAACCGUGGUAAUUCUAGAGCUAAUACAUGCUAAAAACCCCGACUUCGGGAGGGGUGUAUUUAUUAGAUAAAAAACCAAUGCCCUUCGGGGCUCUUUGGUGAUUCAUGAUAACUUAACGGAUCGCAUGGCCUUGCGCCGGCGACGGUUCAUUCAAAUUUCUGCCCUAUCAACUUUCGAUGGUAAGGUAUUGGCUUACCAUGGUUUCAACGGGUAACGGGGAAUUAGGGUUCGAUUCCGGAGAGGGAGCCUGAGAAACGGCUACCACAUCCAAGGAAGGCAGCAGGCGCGCAAAUUACCCAAUCCCGACACGGGGAGGUAGUGACAAUAAAUACUGAUACAGGGCUCUUUUGGGUCUUGUAAUCGGAAUGAGUACAAUUUAAACCCCUUAACGAGGAACAAUUGGAGGGCAAGUCUGGUGCCAGCAGCCGCGGUAAUUCCAGCUCCAAUAGCGUAUAUUAAAGUUGUUGCAGUUAAAAAGCUCGUAGUUGAACCUUGGGCCUGGCUGGCCGGUCCGCCUCACCGCGUGUACUGGUCCGGCCGGGCCUUUCCUUCUGGAGAGCCGCAUGCCCUUCACUGGGCGUGUCGGGGAACCAGGACUUUUACUUUGAAAAAAUUAGAGUGUUCAAAGCAGGCCUUUGCUCGAAUACGUUAGCAUGGAAUAAUAGAAUAGGACGCGCGGUCCUAUUUUGUUGGUUUCUAGGACCGCCGUAAUGAUUAAUAGGGAUAGUCGGGGGGCAUCAGUAUUCAAUUGUCAGAGGUGAAAUUCUUGGAUUUAUUGAAGACUAACUACUGCGAAAGCAUUUGCCAAGGAUGUUUUCAUUAAUCAGUGAACGAAAGUUAGGGGAUCGAAGACGAUCAGAUACCGUCGUAGUCUUAACCGUAAACUAUGCCGACUAGGGAUCGGGCGGUGUUUCAAUAUUGACCCGCUCGGCACCUUACGAGAAAUCAAAG
Molecule: ribosomal RNA, 1025 nt
Filed under: Anteaglonium parvulum
Lineage: Eukaryota; Fungi; Ascomycota; Dothideomycetes; Pleosporales; Anteagloniaceae
Also listed under: 1 other name
Description: SSU rRNA
Rfam family: Eukaryotic small subunit ribosomal RNA
Source: RNAcentral